RNAcentral lists this ribosomal RNA (497 nucleotides) under uncultured bacterium. RNAcentral describes it as "partial 16S ribosomal RNA". It matches the Rfam family "Bacterial small subunit ribosomal RNA", at positions 28 to 507 of the family's 1533-position model. The record is from RNAcentral.
GAUGAACGCUGGCGGCGUGCCUAAUACAUGCAAGUCGAGCGAACAGACGAGGAGCUUGCUCCUCUGACGUUAGCGGCGUACGGGUGAGUAACACGUGGAUAACCUACCUAUAAGACUGGGAUAACUUCGGGAAACCGGAUCUAAUACCGGAUAAUAUAUUGAACCGCAUGGUUCAAUAGUGAAAGACGGUUUUGCUGUCACUUAUAGAUGGAUCCGCGCCGCAUUAGCGAGUUGGUAAGGUAACGGCUUACCAAGGCAACGAUGCGUAGCCGACCUGAGAGGGUGAACGGCCACACUGGAACUGAGACACGGUCCAGACUCCUACGGGAGGCAGCAGUAGGGAAUCUUCCGCAAUGGGCGAAAGCCUGACGGAGCAACGCCGCGUGAGUGAUGAAGGUCUUCGGAUCGUAAAACUCUGUUAUUAGGGAAGAACAAAUGUGUAAGUAACUAUGCACGUCUUGACGGUACCUAAUCAGAAAGCCACGGCUAACUACGUG